RNAcentral lists this ribosomal RNA (83 nucleotides) under Candidatus Enterocloster faecavium. RNAcentral describes it as "partial 23S ribosomal RNA". It matches the Rfam family "Bacterial large subunit ribosomal RNA", at positions 2842 to 2925 of the family's 2925-position model. Lineage: Bacteria; Bacillati; Bacillota; Clostridia; Lachnospirales; Lachnospiraceae. The record is from RNAcentral.
AGACGACGAGGUAGAUAGGUUAGAGGUGGAAGUACAGUAAUGUAUGGAGCUGACUAAUACUAAUCGGUCGAGGGCUUAACCAG